GAUGGACGCUGGCGGCGUGCCUAAUACAUGCAAGUCGAGCGAACGGACGAGAAGCUUGCUUCUCUGAUGUUAGCGGCGGACGGGUGAGUAACACGUGGAUAACCUACCUAUAAGACUGGGAUAACUUCGGGAAACCGGAGCUAAUACCGGAUAAUAUUUUGAACCGCAUGGUUCAAAAGUGAAAGACGGUCUUGCUGUCACUUAUAGAUGGAUCCGCGCUGCAUUAGCUAGUUGGUAAGGUAACGGCUUACCAAGACAACGAUGCAUAGCCGACCUGAGAGGGUGAUCGGCCACACUGGAACUGAGACACGGUCCAGACUCCUACGGGAGGCAGCAGUAGGGAAUCUUCCGCAAUGGGCGAAAGCCUGACGGAGCAACGCCGCGUGAGUGAUGAAGGUCUUCGGAUCGUAAAACUCUGUUAUUAGGGAAGAACAUAUGUGUAAGUAACUGUGCACAUCUUGACGGUACCUAAUCAGAAAGCCACGGCUAACUACGUG
RNAcentral lists this ribosomal RNA (497 nucleotides) under uncultured bacterium. Its description in RNAcentral is "partial 16S ribosomal RNA". It matches the Rfam family "Bacterial small subunit ribosomal RNA", at positions 28 to 507 of the family's 1533-position model. The record is from RNAcentral.